Molecule: long non-coding RNA, 5106 nt
Filed under: Homo sapiens (human)
Lineage: Eukaryota; Metazoa; Chordata; Mammalia; Primates; Hominidae
Description: HSALNT0397853
Source: RNAcentral
ACAGUGACAGCCACCGUUGCCUGGGGACGGGCCCUAGCGGCUUGGCGGAGCUGGAGCCCUCCCUGGCAGUGCGUCGGCGCUGGGCUAUGGCCCCCUCCUCUCCGGGGGAUCGUCGCCUUGGUCCCCCGACCCUAGGAGUCGGGCAGGGCAGAACCAGGCUAAAGAAACGUCCAGCGUAGCUUCAAGGAUGCACCGCGUGAUCCCUAUCGGAUCUCCCCGACGCGUCAGGCCUGCCUAGACGGUGCUGGGAGCGCGUCUCCUUGAACGUUGUCCCGCCUGGGAUUGCGAGGAAUUAUCCGAUGAAAAGUAGAAGAGGUUGAAUGACUUUCAGUGGCCUUUUCUUCACAGAUUAUUCAGUAAGAACAGUCUCAGGAAAACAGGACCUUCAACAGAGAUAAGAGAAUUAAAAUAUGCAGACUAACAACUCUGGGAAUGGGCUGACCAGCCUGAUAAGAAUAGGCUGAUGGCACCUACAGAAGGCCACAAAACACUGACCAAGAAAGCAAUGACCAACAAAGCAAUGACCUGAGACUGCACAUUUCACAAGAAUGUUUUGAUCAUCAUUUUUUCUAAUUUCCCUUAAAAACCCCUGAUAUGGAGACAGAACUCGGCGGUCUUUGAACACUAGUUCACUGCCUCCCCUGGGUUGUUGGAUUCCUGAAUAGAGCUAACCAUCCUUUCACCAAUGCUCAUCUCUUAAACUUUCAAGUGACAAGUGGUCUGGACCUGAAUUUCGUUACAAAACCUAUGUAUACCUUACCUUACAUGGCAAAGGGGACUUUAGAAGUGCAAUUAAAUUAAGGAUCUUGAGAGGGGGUUAUCCUGGAUUAUCUGGUUGGGCCCAAUGUAUUUGUAAGUGAUAGAGGGAGGCAGGUGAGUAAAAAAAGGAAACGUGAUGAUGAAAGCACAAGUCAAAAUGUGAUUGCUGGCUUUGAAAAUGGAUGGAAGCCACACCCCAGGGAUCGUGGACAGCCUUUAGAACCAGAAAAGGACAAGGAAACAGAUUCUCCAGUCCUCUAGAACCUCCAGAAGGAACAUGGCUCUGCUAAUACUAUGAUAUUAGCCCUUUCAGACUGAUUUCAGACUUCUGACCAGCAGAGGUAUAAAUCAUAAUUAUAUUGAUUUAAGCCACUAAAUUAGUGGUUAUUAGUAACGGCAGCAACAGGAAACUAUAUCAGCAACAAGACUCCUUCCUUCAUAGAACCCAAUUCCCAACCAAUUUUCAAACUUUCACAGAAAAUCUUGCCACACACUGAGACUAGGAACAUCCAACAAAAAAAUGCUAUCACUUUCAAAUGGAAAACCCAGGAUUGUAGAGAAGAUCAAAUUUUGUCAUGUAUCACAUUUAAACACUCAUCUCUACCUCACCAAACCGUGGUACUAAUGUGUACCAAUCUUAAAAGGAGGUAUUUCUGUUCCCUCAGAGCUCUGGGCAGAAGACUAUGCCUGUGGACAAUGUAGAAUUAUCUGCUGAAUGAAUAUCUGAAAACUGUUUGGAGAGGGGAAAAGCAUUGAGAAGAAUUGGGCUCUUUGCUACUAUUACUCGCUAGAAUGGGAGACGUUUGGAAGCAGUUCCCUUAAGGAACCAAACAAGGCAGGAAAUUCUGGGAUAAAUCUGGUGUUCACAUUACACAACAAAAUGAUUGUACUUCAAGAAGGAAAGAAACAGCAACUCACGUGGGGCAUGGUUUUUUAGAACUGAUCAAUUUUCUGGGUUCUUCUCCUGGAGGUGUGCAAAGUCCAGAGAAGCCAGUGCUGGACAAGGAAAAGAAGCCACAAGAUUAGACUUGGCUCACAGCCCACAAAAUAAACUACUUAGAACUACCUUUACUUCUCCUCUUUUGGGAAUUUGGAAAAAAUCUCAGUUCUUCCACAAACCCAAUGGAAGCCAGCUACUGCAGAAGGGGUUCAGGCAGACCUUUCCUUAAUGUCCAUGUUGAACAGGACCCUAGGUGCUGUUACUUUCCCAUGGCAUCUCCUCUUCCACAGUAGAACAGAGGCAUGCCCAGGGAGCCCCCCACCAUCCUCCUGGACCCAAACACUAAGUCAGGUACUUUGCUCCCAAUCUUAGGAAGGGGCUUCAGAGACCAAAAUGUGGCCUUCUUUCAGACGUCAUGAACAUCAGCUAGACUCACAGACAUUUUGACAGACAUAUCAGGGUCAACAGAUCCAAAACAGUCUCAUCCCACUCCCCUGAAUCUAGUUCUUUCUUGCCUGUUUACUCUUCCCUAUAAAAGAAAAUUCCUUUAUGCCUGACCUUUGCUAUGCUUGCAGAUCUUAUGGCUGGAGUAUUCUCCCAAUUACAACACCUCCUCCCUUACUGCAGUGUUCCUGUGAAUAAAGUCAUUCCUUACCAAAGUCUGGAUUUGUUUUUUUAUUUCACAGGUUGAAUAACUUUUGUAGAAUAACAAAACAAACUAUUUUAACUGUAACCUAAUUCUCCAAGCCAUGGCACACACAGAAGCACGGAGGGUCAAACAGGAGCAACAUCCACAUGACAGCCAAUGUGCGCACAGCACGCCCCCUCUUGCAAUAUGACUUCAAGAUUGAGCAAGUUCCCCAACUAGAGCCACCUACUUGCCAUAGUUGUGUAGCACUGAUCUUUUUUUUUUUUUUGGUAGCAUUGAUCUUGCAUACAUGUAUAAUCCAUGAACUUAACAUCAAUGUUACUUGUGUGAUACCAAGAAAACCCAGUAAGAGAGCAGGUAAAUAAUUUAAGUAAGAUUUUGUUGGGUAUAGUUGAGCUUUGAAGCACCAUAAGCCAUUGUACUAAGAUUUUGUCCUCCCCGCUAACCAAUUUUCACCUCCUUUGAGGCAAUAUCAUCGUCAUUAAGAAUACAUGGGUUGGCUGCACGCAGUGGCUCACGCCUGUAGUCCCAGGGAGGCCGAGGCAGGCAGAUCACUUGAGGUCAGGAGUUCAAGACCAGCCUGGCCAACAUGGCUACUAAAAAAUACAAAAAUUAGCCAGGCAUGGUGGCACAUGCCUGUAGUCCCAGCUACUUGGGAGGCUAAGGCAGAAGAAUCACUUGUACGCGGGAGGUGGAGGUUGCAGUGACCCAAGAUUGCGCCACUGCACUCCAGCCUGGGUGACAGAGCGAGACUCCAUCUCAAAAAAAAAAAAAAAAAAAAAAAAAAAAAUCCCAUGGGUUAAAAUAAUAUAUAUAAAAUGAUAUAAAGAUGUUAACCUCUGCAAGUUAAUAGGAUAUUUGACAUAUGAUAUACAAAUUAAAUAUGACCCCAAUAAAAGUACAAGUAUGAAAGCAGAUACAUUCAAUUUAAAUUCAACAAGCAAGAAAAUUAAAAAGCAAGAAUUGGAAAAAAAUGCCUGAUAAUAAAGAGAACAGAGAUUUCAAAAUACCACUCCUAUCAUUAAAAUGUUGGAUACUGUAAAAAGGAACAAAAUCAUAUCCUCUGCAGCAACACAGAUGUGGCUAGAGGCCAUUAUCCUAAAUGAAUUAACACAGAAACAAAACCAAAUACCACAUGUUGUCCUUUAUAACUGGAAGCUAAGCACUGGGUACACCUGAACAUAAAGAUGAGAACAUGGACACUGGCAACUACUAGAGCACGGAGAGAAGGAGGAGGGCAAAGGAGCAAACCUACCUACCUAUCAGGUAUCCUGCUCACUACCUGGGUGACUGGAUCAUACCCCAAACCUCGGCAUCACACAAUAUGCCAUAUAACAAACCUGAACAUGUACCCCCUGAAUCUAAAAUAAAAGUUGAAAUUUUAUUUUUAAAAAGUUGGAUACUGCAUAUGAAUAGAAAGAAAAGAUUAAUGUAACUGAAUAGAAUCUCUGAUCUCUGGGGAAAGGUGGAUUAUUCAGUAAAUGUUAUUGGAGAAAGGUAAAAUUGGAACCCCAUUUUAUAACACAUACCCAAAUUAACUCCAAAUAUAUAAGAUAUCUAAAUAUUAAAAAAUGAAAUUGGCAGGGAGUGGUGGCUCAUGCCUGUAAUCCCAGCACUUUGGGAGGCUGAGGCAGGUGGAUCACCUGAGGUCAGCAGUUCACCGUCAGCCUGGCCAAUGUGGUAAAACCCCAUCUCUACUAAAAAUACAAAAAUUAGCUGGGUGUGGUGGCGGGUGCUUGUGAUCCCAGCUACUUGGGAGGCUAAGGCAGGAGAAUCGUUUGAACCCAGUAGGCGGAGGUUGCAGUGAGCCGAGAUCAUGCCACUGCACUUCAGCCUGGGCGACAAGAGCCAAACUCCGUCUCAAAAAAAAAAAAAAAAAAAAAUCACAAAAAUGCUAGAAGGAAAAACAGACUGUUCCUUCUUAACUUCAGAGGGGAAAAUUCUGUAUCUCACAAUCAUAUGAAUAAAUGUUCCUACAUUUAAAAAUUGCCUAAAAGAAUACACAGACAAAUGACAAAAUGGGAGAAAAUAUGCGCAACUUAAAUAAAAAACAGAGUCCUAAAAUCCAAAGAGCUGUAUUUUAAAAAUCGAGGGAAAACAAGAGAAAGACAAAAAAAUCAUUAUUUUAAAUGGACAACAGACAAUUCAUAAAAAAAAAGUCAACGGUCAUUCAACAUGUAAAAUGCUCAUCAUUUAAAUAAAGAGAAAUUCAAAUUGAAACGAAAUUGAGAAGACUUCUGAAUCCAAUAUCAUUAAGAUCCUACUGGACUAAGUUCCUUGAAGAUACACCUAUCAGAUCUGGACAUAAUACAAAAAGCAACUAACUGAAGGUGCUGGCCAAUGAACUGAAGCAGUAUUCCUACAAAAAAAUGCAAAAAUUAGCCAGGCGUGGUGGCGGGCAUCUGUAAUCCCAGCUACUUGGGAGGCUGAGGCAAAGAAUUGCUUGAACCCGGGAGUUGGAGGUUACAGUGAGCCAAGAUCGCGCCACUGCACUCCAGCCUGGGCAACAGAGCAAGACUCCAUCUCAAAAAAAAAAAAAAAAAAAAAAAGCACACUUGAAUUGAAUCAUGAGGAAACAUCAAACACAUACAAACUGAGGAACAAUCUACAAAAUAACAGGCCUGUAGUUUUCAAAAAAGUCAGGAUCACAAAGGAUCAAAGAAAAGUCCAGGAAUUGUUUUCCAUUAAAAGAGACUAAAGAGAUGAUUUAAUUAAAUUAAAUGUUUGAUCCUAGAUAUGAUUUUGGAUUGGACGCCAG